UAUCCGUAGGUGAACCUGCGGAAGGAUCAUUAUUGGAUUUUGAAACUUCAGGCUGCUGCUGGCUCUCCUCGGAGGGCAUGUGCACGCUUGUUGUCCAUUAUUUCUCCCACUGUGCACAAAUUGUAGACCUUUCAGUAGGCCUAUGUUGUUUUUCACAAUCUCUGAAUGUAAUAGAAUGGUUUUGAAUCUUGGGAAAUACAAUACAACUUUCAGCAACGGAUCUCUUGGCUCUC
RNAcentral lists this unclassified non-coding RNA (233 nucleotides) under plant metagenome. RNAcentral's name for it is "partial contains small subunit ribosomal RNA, internal transcribed spacer 1, and 5.8S ribosomal RNA". The record is from RNAcentral.